This 435-nucleotide unclassified non-coding RNA is filed under the name Mycobacterium gordonae. Its description in RNAcentral is "contains 16S-23S intergenic spacer region". The stretch from base 1 to 65 matches the Rfam family "Bacterial small subunit ribosomal RNA", at positions 1469 to 1533 of the family's 1533-position model. The record is from RNAcentral. Lineage: Bacteria; Bacillati; Actinomycetota; Actinomycetes; Mycobacteriales; Mycobacteriaceae.
CGGCGAUUGGGACGAAGUCGUAACAAGGUAGCCGUACCGGAAGGUGCGGCUGGAUCACCUCCUUUCUAAGGAGCACCACGAGAAGCAUCCCAAUUGGUGGGGUGCAAGCCGUGAGGGGUCAUCGUCUGUAGUGGACGAAGACCGGGUGCACGACAACAAGCAAGCCAGACACACUAUUGGGUCCUGAGGCAACACCCUCGGGUGCUGUCCCUCCAUCUUGGUGGUGGGGUGUGGUGUUUGAGAACUGGAUAGUGGUUGCGAGCAUCAAAAUGUAUGCGUUGUCGUUAGCGGCAACGUGUUCUUUUUGUGCAAUUUUAAUUCUUUGGUUUUUGUAGUGUUUGUAAGUGUCUAAGGGCGCAUGGUGGAUGCCUUGGCAUCGAGAGCCGAUGAAGGACGUGGGAGGCUGCGAUAUGCCUCGGGGAGCUGUCAACCGAG